GAUGAACGCUGGCGGCGUGCCUAAUACAUGCAAGUCGAGCGAACAGACGAGGAGCUUGCUCCUCUGACGUUAGCGGCGGACGGGUGAGUAACACGUGGAUAACCUACCUAUAAGACUGGGAUAACUUCGGGAAACCGGAGCUAAUACCGGAUAAUAUAUUGAACCGCGUGGUUCGUUAGUGAAAGACGGCUUUGCGGUCACUUAUAGAUGGAUCUGCGCCUCUUUAGCUAGUUGGGAAGUUAACGGCCUAUCAAGGCAACGAUGCGUAGACGACCUGAGAGAGUGAUCGCCGACACUGGAACUGGGCCAGCGUCCAGACUACUACGGGAGGCAGCAGUAGGGAAUCUUCCGCAAUGGGCGAAAGCCUGACGGAGCAAGGCCGCGUGAGUGAUGAAGGUCUUCCGAUCGUAAAGCUCUGUUACUAGGUAAGAACAACUGUGUAAGUAACUGUGCACGUCUUGACGGUACCUAAUAAGAAAGCCACGGCUAACUACGUG
Molecule: ribosomal RNA, 497 nt
Filed under: uncultured bacterium
Lineage: Bacteria
Description: partial 16S ribosomal RNA
Rfam family: Bacterial small subunit ribosomal RNA
Source: RNAcentral